AGACAAAGCAACAAGAAACAAUUGGUCUUUACUUUACAUACAUCAUCUCAAGUCUUCUCCCUGAUGUGGUAUAUUUCUAGCAUCCCAUCUCGGUCCUCGUUCAGGCCGUGCUGGCCACCUUCUGUGUAAUGCUGACCCCUUCAUGAGCGAACCAAAGUUUCAUGAAGUUAGCCACAUACUUGUAUGGUCACGCAACAAAGAGAGAAAACUAACAUCGGGUCAUGCUUAUUCUUCUUCUUCAGGUGAAGCCGGUGCUGAAGAGGGUGAAGUUCACCCUGGUGGGUCUGGCGGUGUCGCUGACCCUCUGCAUCCUCCUCUACGCCAACACGGAGAAGCCGAGGGAGCCGCUGGAGAAC
This 356-nucleotide long non-coding RNA is filed under the name Hordeum vulgare. RNAcentral describes it as "long non-coding RNA (HVUL_LNC002196)". Lineage: Eukaryota; Viridiplantae; Streptophyta; Magnoliopsida; Poales; Poaceae. The record is from RNAcentral.